UUAACUUGGGAGUCAGAACAUGGGUGAUAAGGUCCGUGUUCGAAAGGGAAACAGCCCAGACCACCAGCUAAGGUCCCAAAAUAUAUGUUAAGUGGAAAAGGAUGUGGCGUUGCCCAGACAACUAGGAUGUUGGCUUAGAAGCAGCCAUCAUUUAAAGAGUGCGUAAUAGCUCACUAGUCGAGUGACACUGCGCCGAAAAUGUACCGGGGCUAAACAUAUUACCGAAGCUGUGGAUUGUCCUUUGGACAAUGGUAGGAGAGCGUUCUAAGGGCGUUGAAGCAUGAUCGUAAGGACAUGUGGAGCGCUUAGAAGUGAGAAUGCCGGUGUGAGUAGCGAAAGACGGGUGAGAAUCCCGUCCACCGAUUGACUAAGGUUUCCAGAGGAAGGCUCGUCCGCUCUGGGUUA
RNAcentral lists this ribosomal RNA (405 nucleotides) under Staphylococcus aureus. RNAcentral describes it as "partial 23S ribosomal RNA". It matches the Rfam family "Bacterial large subunit ribosomal RNA", at positions 972 to 1382 of the family's 2925-position model. Lineage: Bacteria; Bacillati; Bacillota; Bacilli; Caryophanales; Staphylococcaceae. The record is from RNAcentral.